Molecule: ribosomal RNA, 405 nt
Filed under: uncultured bacterium
Lineage: Bacteria
Description: bacterial SSU rRNA
Rfam family: Bacterial small subunit ribosomal RNA
Source: RNAcentral
GGGGAAUAUUGGACAAUGGGCGAAAGCCUGAUCCAGCAACGCCGCGUGAGGGAUGACGGCCUUCGGGUUGUAAACCUCUUUCAGCAGGGGCGAAGCGAAAGUGACGGUACCUGCAGAAGAAGGACCGGCCAACUACGUGCCAGCAGCCGCAGUAAUACGUAGGGUCCGAGCGUUGUCCGGAAUUAUUGGGCGUAAAGGGCUCGUAGGCGGUUUGUCGCGUCGGGAGUGAAAACUCAGGGCUCAACCCUGAGCGUGCUUCCGAUACGGGCAAACUAGAGGUAUGCAGGGGAGAACGGAAUUCCUGGUGUAGCGGUGGAAUGCGCAGAUAUCAGGAGGAACACCGGUGGCGAAGGCGGUGCUCUGGGCAUUACCUGACGCUGAGGAGCGAAAGCAUGGGGAGCGAAC